Molecule: non-coding RNA, 1074 nt
Organism: Equus caballus (horse)
Lineage: Eukaryota; Metazoa; Chordata; Mammalia; Perissodactyla; Equidae
Source: RefSeq, a predicted model, not a curated record
ACAACUAGAAGGACCCACAACUAAGAAUAUACAACUAUGUACUGGGGGGCUUUGGGGAGAAAAAGGAAAAAAAUAAAAUUAAAAAAAAAAUUCACUGGAUAGGAUCAAUAGCAGAAUGGGGAGGACACAGGAAAGAAACAGCUUGAAGUCAGAUCAACAGGAAUUAUUCAAUAUGAACAACAAAGACAAAAAAAAAAAAAAAUAGGAAAAAAAUUCCCAACCUUGACAAAACACAUAUGCCUACAGUUCCAUUAGCUCAGUGAACUCCAAACAGGACAAAGCCAAGAAAAUCCAUGUGCAGACAUAUCAUAAUCAAACUGCUGACAUCUAAAGACAGAAUUCUUGAAGGCAACCAGAGAAAAACAAUGACGGGAGAACAAUCUGAAUGAUCACAGAUUUUUCAUCAGAAACCAUGGAAGCUAGAGGAAGAGGAAGAACAUUUCUAAAGUGCCGAAACAAAAAACUGCCAAUCCAGAAUUCUAUAUCUAGGGAGAAUGUCCUUCAGCAACGAAGGUGAAAUAAAGAUAGCCUCAUAUGAAGAAAAGCUGAGAAAAUUCAUAGCCAGCAAACCUGUUCUAACUGAAUGGGACUAAAGGAAGUUCUUCAGACAUAAAAGAAAUGAUACCAGAGGGAAGCUUGGAACAUCAGGGUGGCAGUGUACUCAGCUCCCAGUGAUGGAUCACGGAAGGUUAAAUACAGUCACAACAAUUCUGUUUUCUAGUCAUCUAACCUGAUGGCAGCAAGGGAUGAUAAAGUGACCUAGUACUGACCAAUGAGCUGUAAGGAGAUGUCUGCUGGGUACUUCUAGGGGAUCUUUUCCUCUUCAGUUAAAAAAAAGAAACACAGAGAAGUACCAGUCACCUCUUCCCACCCCCUGCCCCCCUUCUUCCUGCUUCGAACACAGGUAUGAUGCCAGGAGUGGCAGCAGCCAUCUCAUGCCCACAGGAUAAAGGCCAAGAGAACUGCUGAGACGCUGGGCCUGACACUGCUGAGCUGCUGAACCCCACUGGGCUGCCACCUACCACCAGAUUUGUUGUUACAUGAGAAAAAUGAACUCCUCUUUGUUUAACUACU